CAUGCUUCACAUGACAUGGUGUGUCAAACCGGAAACUGGUUUCUUCGCCUGAAGUGGAAUCAAAAUAAAGGCGUUUACGAGGAAAAGAAAACAGGUGCAUUCUGGGUUUCAGAGAAAUUCUUUUCUUCUUUAAGAGCUCAUUUUCAAAAGUUGUGACCAGAAAUGCUAAUUUAUGAACAUAUAAAAUGCCGUUUAUCUCUAUAUCUAAGUCUCUUCUGAUCAGAGAACUCCGUUUCUAUCUCUGCACCAGGUCACAACGACCUGCUCCUCCGUCAGUCGUUCUCGCGGUGACACCCAACCCGUUACCUGUUCUGCAACUGUCAGCGGUUCAUCCUGGGACGGCGGUGCAACAAACCUGUUAUUAACCGCAGCGACGUCACCGAUCGCGGCAGAGUAUAUAAACAUUGACGCAACACGUGUUAAAGGACCUGAGUCUGCUGGAAAUCUGCUGCAGAAAGACCUUCACGACUGCUCAUCACUGAGAGGCAAAAUGAGUGACAAGGACCCAAAAA
Cynoglossus semilaevis (tongue sole) is the source of this 512-nucleotide long non-coding RNA. RefSeq lists it as uncharacterized. Lineage: Eukaryota; Metazoa; Chordata; Actinopteri; Pleuronectiformes; Cynoglossidae. The record is from RefSeq and is a predicted model, not a curated record. The transcript is spliced from 3 exons.